This is a long non-coding RNA of Homo sapiens (human), 591 nucleotides long. Ensembl annotates it as TNPO1 divergent transcript. Its record names the gene TNPO1-DT. Lineage: Eukaryota; Metazoa; Chordata; Mammalia; Primates; Hominidae. The record is from Ensembl.
CCAGGCUUUGGUAACAGGAUGAUGCUGGCCUCAUAAAAUGAGUUAGGGAGGAUUCCCUCUUUUUCUACUGAUUGGAAUAGUUUCAGAAGGAAUGGUACCAGUUCCUCCUUGUACCUCUGGUAGAAUUCGGCUGUGAAUCCAUCUGGUCCUUGACUUUUUUUGAUUGAAAUUAGUUGAUAACGUCUUCCAGGAGACCUACGGCCAUCCUACUGAUAUGAACCAGAUCAUACCUGCCCUGAUGGGAUGCCAGAGAAAGACUGCUGCAAGGGAUCCUCUGGAAACAGAACAGAGGGAAGAAGAUACCUUCCCUGAAGCCCAGAUGUUCCAGAAGCCUGCGCCUCAUUCACAAAGUCACCCCAAAAAUGCCCUAGAGUUUGGAGUUUUGAAGAAGCGGGAAGAAGGCCUGAGUAAGGGCCUGGGAACCAAGUUAGAUCCUACUUCAGCAUCAGCACAUGCCAGCGAUGGUGCACACAGGUGGAGAGCGGCCUGCCCGUCUUUUCCAUGGUGCCCACAGACCCAUUUAGGAUGAAAGAUCAGAAAAUUCUCUCCAUGUCACCGCUUCUGAAACAUGUGAAUAUUAAUAUUUGGUGC